RNAcentral lists this ribosomal RNA (238 nucleotides) under uncultured bacterium. RNAcentral's name for it is "partial 16S ribosomal RNA". It matches the Rfam family "Bacterial small subunit ribosomal RNA", at positions 15 to 233 of the family's 1533-position model. The record is from RNAcentral.
GAUCAUGGCUCAGGAUGAACGCUGUCGGCGUGCUUAACACAUGCAAGUCGAACGAAGCAUUUAGAACAGAUUAUUUCGGUAUGAAGUUCUUUAUGACUGAGUGGCGGACGGGUGAGUAACGCGUGGGUAACCUGCCUUGUACUGGGGGAUAGCAGCUGGAAACGGCUGGUAAUACCGCAUAAGCGCACAAUGUUGCAUGACAUAGUGUGAAAAACUCCGGUGGUAUAAGAUGGACCCG